AUUGAACGCUGGCGGCAGGCCUUACACAUGCAAGUCGAGCGGAUGAGAGGAGCUUGCUCCUCGAUUCGGCGGCGGACGGGUGAGUAAUGCCUAGGAAUCUGCCUAGUAGUGGGGGACAACGUUUCGAAAGGAACGCUAAUACCGCAUACGUCCUACGGGAGAAAGUGGGGGAUCUUCGGACCUCACGCUAUUAGAUGAGCCUAGGUCGGAUUAGCUAUUUGGUAGGGUAAAGGCCUACCAAGGCGACGAUCCGUAACUGGUCUGAGAGGAUGAUCAGUCACACUGGAACUGAGACACGGUCCAGACUCCUACGGGAGGCAGCAGUGGGGAAUAUUGGACAAUGGGCGAAAGCCUGAUCCAGCCAUGCCGCGUGUGUGAAGAAGGCCUUCGGGUCGUAAAGCACUUUAAGUUGGGAGGAAGGGCUCAUAGCGAAUACCUGUGAGUUUUGACGUUACCAACAGAAUAAGCACCGGCUAACUUCGUGCCAGCAGCCGCCGUAA
RNAcentral lists this ribosomal RNA (500 nucleotides) under uncultured bacterium. RNAcentral describes it as "partial 16S ribosomal RNA". It matches the Rfam family "Bacterial small subunit ribosomal RNA", at positions 30 to 523 of the family's 1533-position model. The record is from RNAcentral.